RNAcentral lists this ribosomal RNA (162 nucleotides) under uncultured bacterium. RNAcentral's name for it is "partial 16S ribosomal RNA". It matches the Rfam family "Bacterial small subunit ribosomal RNA", at positions 358 to 511 of the family's 1533-position model. The record is from RNAcentral.
GGAAUCUUCGGCAAUGGACGAAAGUCUGACCGAGCAACGCCGCGUGAGUGAAGAAGGUUUUCGGAUCGUAAAACUCUGUUGGUAGAGAAGAACGUUGGUGAGAGUGGAAAGCUCAUCAAGUGACGGUAACUACCCAGAAAGGAACGGCUAAAUACGUGCCAG